GGUUGUUAUAAAUUUAGCACUUUGAGCUAGAAAUAAGCACGGUUCAAAGUUCAACUCUGAAGCAACAGCAGUUCAAACUGUCACUGCUACAUUAAUCCUUUUCCUUCAGCUGCAACAGUCUCUAGUCCCAGUGUGUCACAACUUUUGUUUACUGGCGCCUUCUCUUGCCAGUCUGUCAGCUUCCUCGUUUCCUUGGAAACCAGCAUGACCAGGAAUAUGCAUCCACUGAAUUUCUAUGCCUUUUGAUAGACUAUCAAGUUUUUGAAAAUCUUCUUUAUUUAUCACGCUUCCUCCUGAACUUGUUCUCCAGCCAUUUGUUUUCCAGUUUUCA
This 331-nucleotide long non-coding RNA is filed under the name Gallus gallus (chicken). Lineage: Eukaryota; Metazoa; Chordata; Aves; Galliformes; Phasianidae. The record is from RNAcentral.